This is a long non-coding RNA of Nyctereutes procyonoides (raccoon dog), 296 nucleotides long. RefSeq lists it as uncharacterized. The transcript has 3 exons. Lineage: Eukaryota; Metazoa; Chordata; Mammalia; Carnivora; Canidae. The record is from RefSeq and is a predicted model, not a curated record.
UGCCAGCGGCUUCCAGGCAGACAGAGAAUCGGGGGUUUGUCUUUAUUUGACUUCUUGCUUGAACCAUCUGGCUGAUGAAGUCUUUCUUUUCAUCUUGUGGCUUCAGUAAAGUAACUACCAUGUUUCCAAGCACACUGUCUUGAAGCUUUGGCUAUUGACCAGAAAGAGAGAUUGGCACCAAUGUGGAUGACCUGACCCACAUAAGAAGAUAGGUGGCUCGUAUGUAGUGGUCAAGUGCUUGGUCUUUGAAGUUGAACUUCCUAGAUUAAAAUCCGAUUUCCGUCCGUUGUCAGCUA